Molecule: ribosomal RNA, 253 nt
Filed under: uncultured bacterium
Lineage: Bacteria
Description: partial 16S ribosomal RNA
Rfam family: Bacterial small subunit ribosomal RNA
Source: RNAcentral
UACAGAGGGUGCGAGCGUUGUCCGGAAUCAUUGGGCGUAAAGGGCUCGUAGGCGGUUUGUCGCGUCGGGAGUGAAAUCCACUGGCUUAACUGGUGGCUUGCUUUCGAUACGGGCAGACUGGAGGUAUGCAGGGGAGAACGGAAUUCCUGGUGUAGCGGUGAAAUGCGCAGAUAUCAGGAGGAACACCGGUGGCGAAGGCGGUUCUCUGGGCAUGUCCUGACGCUGAGGAGCGAAAGUGUGGGGAGCGAACAGG